RNAcentral lists this ribosomal RNA (253 nucleotides) under uncultured bacterium. Its description in RNAcentral is "partial 16S ribosomal RNA". It matches the Rfam family "Bacterial small subunit ribosomal RNA", at positions 524 to 776 of the family's 1533-position model. The record is from RNAcentral.
UACGUAGGGUGCAAGCGUUGUCCGGAAUUAUUGGGCGUAAAGAGCUCGUAGGCGGUUUGUUGCGUCGGCUGUGAAAUCCCGAGGCUCAACCUCGGGUCUGCAGUCGAUACGAGCAAACUAGAGUGUUGCAGGGGAGACUGGAAUUCCUGGUGUAGCGGUGAAAUGCGCAGAUAUCAGGAGGAGCACCGGUGGCGAAGGCGGGUCUCUGGGCAGUAACUGACGCUGAGGAGCGAAAGCGUGGGGAGCGAACAGG